Molecule: ribosomal RNA, 1381 nt
Filed under: uncultured bacterium
Lineage: Bacteria
Description: bacterial SSU rRNA
Rfam family: Bacterial small subunit ribosomal RNA
Source: RNAcentral
UGAUGAUGAAUGCCUUAGAGUUGAUCUGGCUCAGAAUCACGCUGGCGGCGUGCCUCAGACAUGCAAGUCGAACGAUUAACUUCCCUUCGGGGAAGAUAUAAAGUGGCGCACGGGUGAGUAACACGUAAGUAAUCUACCUUCGAGUGGGGAAUAACGUCCGGAAACGGACGCUAAUACCGCAUAAUGCAGCGGCACCUAAUGGUGACAGUUGUUAAAGAUUUAUCGCUUGAAGAGGAGCUUGCGGCAGAUUAGCUAGUUGGUAAGGUAAUGGCUUACCAAGGCUACGAUCUGUAACCGGUCUAAGAGGACGGUCGGUCACACUGACACUGAAUAACGGGUCAGACUCCUACGGGAGGCAGCAGUCGGGAAUUUUGGGCAAUGGGCGAAAGCCUGACCCAGCAACGCCGCGUGAAGGAUGAAGUAUUUCGGUAUGUAAACUUCGAAAGAAUGGGAAGAAUCAAUGACGGUACCAUUUAUAAGGUCCGGCUAACUACGUGCCAGCAGCCGCGGUAAUACGUAGGGACCAAGCGUUGUUCGGAUUUACUGGGCGUAAAGGGCGCGUAGGCGGCAAUUCAAGUCAUCUGUGAAAUCUCCGGGCUUAACUCGGAACGGUCAGAUGAUACUGCUUUGCUAGAGUGCGGAAGGGGCAAUCGGAAUUCUCGGUGUAGCGGUGAAAUGCGUAGAUAUCGAGAGGAACACCUGAGGUGAAGACGGGUUGCUGGGCCGACACUGACGCUGAAGCGCGAAAGCCAGGGGAGCAAACGGGAUUAGAUACCCCGGUAGUCCUGGCCCUAAACGAUGAAUACUUGGUGUCUGGAGUUAUUAGUGCUCCGGGUGCCGUCGCUAACGUUUUAAGUAUUCCGCCUGGGGAGUACGCUCGCAAGAGUGAAGCUCAAAGGAAUUGACGGGGACCCGCACAAGCGGUGGAGCAUGUGGUUUAAUUCGAUGCAACGCGAAGAACCUUACCUGGUCUUGACAUCCAUGGAACCCUGCAGAGAUGCGGGGGUGCCGUAAGGAACCAUGAGACAGGUGCUGCAUGGCUGUCGUCAGCUCGUGUCGUGAGAUGUUGGGUUAAGUCCCGCAACGAGCGCAACCCUUGUCCUUAGUUGCCAUCAUUUAGUUGGGAACUCUAAGGAGACCGCCGGUGACAAACCGGAGGAAGGUGGGGAUGACGUCAAGUCAUCAUGGCCUUUAUGACCAGGGCUACACACGUGCUACAAUGGUAGAUACAGAGGGAAGCCAACGCGCGAGCGGGAGCUAAUCCCAGAAAAUCUAUCGUAGUCCGGAUUGGAGUCUGCAACUCGACUCCAUGAAGUCGGAAUCGCUAGUAAUCGCAGAUCAGCAUUGCUGCGGUGAUAAACUCCCGGGUGCUUGACACACC